RNAcentral lists this ribosomal RNA (488 nucleotides) under uncultured soil bacterium. Its description in RNAcentral is "bacterial SSU rRNA". It matches the Rfam family "Bacterial small subunit ribosomal RNA", at positions 26 to 487 of the family's 1533-position model. The record is from RNAcentral.
AGAACGAACGCUGGCGGCGUGGAUAAGACAUGCAAGUCGCACGGGGCUUUAUCUGUAGCAAUACAGGUGGAGUUCAGUGGCGUAAGGGUGCGUAACACGUGGGCAAUCUGCCGGGAAGCGGGGGAUAGCUCGCCGAAAGGCGAAUUAAUACCGCAUGUGGUUAGUGAAGGAUUCUUCGCGACACCAAAGCCGGGGACCAGCAAUCGGCCUGGCGCUUCCUGAUGAGCCCGCGGCCUAUCAGCUAGUUGGUGAGGUAACGGCUCACCAAGGCUUUGACGGGUAGCUGGUCUGAGAGGACGACCAGCCACACUGGAACUGAGACACGGUCAGACACUACGGGUGCAGCAGUCGAGUAAUUUUCUCAAGUGGGACAACCGUGAAGGAGCGACGCCGCGUGGAGGAGUGAAGGUCGUACGGUAUUAGUAACUCCUGUCUAGUUUAGGAACUAGUUCGCCGUCGUAUUAACGUGUCGCGCUAUUGAUAGUACC